RNAcentral lists this ribosomal RNA (360 nucleotides) under Enterococcus casseliflavus. Its description in RNAcentral is "bacterial SSU rRNA". It matches the Rfam family "Bacterial small subunit ribosomal RNA", at positions 96 to 447 of the family's 1533-position model. Lineage: Bacteria; Bacillati; Bacillota; Bacilli; Lactobacillales; Enterococcaceae. The record is from RNAcentral.
UGGCGAACGGGUGAGUAACACGUGGGUAACCUGCCCAUCAGAAGGGGAUAACACUUGGAAACAGGUGCUAAUACCGUAUAACACUAUUUUCCGCAUGGAAGAAAGUUGAAAGGCGCUUUUGCGUCACUGAUGGAUGGACCCGCGGUGCAUUAGCUAGUUGGUGAGGUAACGGCUCACCAAGGCAACGAUGCAUAGCCGACCUGAGAGAGUGAUCGGCCACACUGGGACUGAGACACGGCCCAGACUCCUACGGGAGGCAGCAGUAGGGAAUCUUCGGCAAUGGACGAAAGUCUGACCGAGCAAACGCCCGCGUGAGUGAAGAAAGGUUUUCGGAUCGUAAAAACUCUGUUGUUAGAGAAG